RNAcentral lists this long non-coding RNA (589 nucleotides) under Trifolium pratense (red clover). RNAcentral's name for it is "long non-coding RNA (TPRA_LNC013248)". The record is from RNAcentral. Lineage: Eukaryota; Viridiplantae; Streptophyta; Magnoliopsida; Fabales; Fabaceae.
GUAUCUCUCUUGUUCACCUUGCUGACUUAGGCAUCGGAGCACCUGCAGGUACAAACCCCCCCUUCGGUGUGGAAGCUUGCUCAACGGACCGGCCUUCGAACCUAUUCUGAUCACCAGGUACGAUCAUCUUUAAAACAAACAAUUCAUUUAAUUUUCACUUCAAUGAUGAACUUUAUAAGAACUCAAAAUAGGUUCCUCAUUUUAAGUCACUCCAGUCAGGGAAUACUAAAUGCACACAUUGCCAAUCUUAAUUAUUCGAUGAACCGGUUCAAACUAUUGGAUGCACCGGUUCAGAGUUAUAGAUCCAAAUCAGUCUAUACUUCAAGAUGCAUGAAUUAGAUCAACAUAUAGAAUGCACUGAUUCAUGGUUAUAGAUUCGGCUUGGUCUAUACUUGAAAAUGCAUGAAUCGGUUCAACAUAUAGAAUGAUAAAAAAAAUCCUUACAUGUUGAGUAAUUACCUUCUGAAAAAUUUUAAGUUGUUGCAUGUAAGAUAAAAAAAAUUUAACUCCUUUUUAGUGUGUUAAUUCAUUUUUCCAAGCAUUGUUGUUGCUCAGAUAUGAAAUUCUGAUUAUGAUUAAUUCAACGUGG